Molecule: unclassified non-coding RNA, 18 nt
Filed under: Chlamydomonas reinhardtii
Lineage: Eukaryota; Viridiplantae; Chlorophyta; Chlorophyceae; Chlamydomonadales; Chlamydomonadaceae
Description: small RNA Cre_1474
Source: RNAcentral
CUGCAGCUGCUGCAGGGG